This 254-nucleotide ribosomal RNA is filed under the name uncultured bacterium. RNAcentral's name for it is "partial 16S ribosomal RNA". It matches the Rfam family "Bacterial small subunit ribosomal RNA", at positions 524 to 776 of the family's 1533-position model. The record is from RNAcentral.
UACGAAGGGGGCUAGCGUUGUUCGGAAUUACUGGGCGUAAAGCGCACGUAGGCGGGCGAUUAAGUCAGGGGUGAAAUCCCGGAGCUCAACUCCGGAACUGCCUUUGAUACUGGUCGUCUAGAGAUCGGAAGAGGUGAGUGGGAAUUCCCAGUGUAGAGGUGAAAUUCGUAGAUAUUGGGAAGAACACCAGUGGCGAAGGCGGCUCACUGGUCCGAUACUGACGCUGAGGUGCGAAAGCGUGGGGAGCAAACAGG